Molecule: ribosomal RNA, 463 nt
Filed under: uncultured bacterium
Lineage: Bacteria
Description: partial 16S ribosomal RNA
Rfam family: Bacterial small subunit ribosomal RNA
Source: RNAcentral
AGUGAACGCUGGCGGCGUGCUUAAUACAUGCAAGUCGAACGAUGAAGUCCUAGCUUGCUAGGAUGGAUUAGUGGCGCACGGGUGAGUAAUAUAUAGUUAAUCUGCCUUGCACUGAGGAACAACAGUUGGAAACGAUUGCUAAUACCUCAUACUCCAACUUUACAUAAGUUAAGUUGGGAAAGUCUUUUCGGUGCAAGAUGAGACUAUAUCGUAUCAGCUAGUUGGUAAGGUAAUGGCUUACCAAGGCUAUGACGCGUAACUGGUCUGAGAGGAUGAUCAGUCACAUUGGAACUGAGACACGGGCCAAACUCCUACGGGAGGCAGCAGUAAGGAAUAUUGUGCAAUGGGGGAAACACUGACGCAGCAACGCCGCGUGGAGGAUGACACUUUUCGGAGCGUAAACUCCUUUUGUUAGGGAAGAAUAAUGACGGUACCUAACGAAUAAGCACCGGCUAACUCCGUG